This 500-nucleotide ribosomal RNA is filed under the name uncultured bacterium. RNAcentral's name for it is "partial 16S ribosomal RNA". It matches the Rfam family "Bacterial small subunit ribosomal RNA", at positions 30 to 523 of the family's 1533-position model. The record is from RNAcentral.
AUUGAACGCUGGCGGAAUGCUUUACACACGCAAGUCGAACGAUGAAGUCUAGCUUGCUAGACGGAUUAGUGGCGAACGGGUGAGUAAUAUAUCGGAACGUAUCCAUUAAUGGGGGAUAACUAGUCGAAAGAUUGGCUAAUACCGCAUACGUCCUACGGGAGAAAGCUGGGGAUCGUAAGACCUGGCGUUAAUGGAGCGGCCGAUAUCUGAUUAGCUAGUUGGUGAGGUAAAGGCUCACCAAGGCGACGAUCAGUAGCUGGUCUGAGAGGACGACCAGCCACACUGGAACUGAGACACGGUCCAGACUCCUACGGGAGGCAGCAGUGGGGAAUUUUGGACAAUGGGCGAAAGCCUGAUCCAGCCAUUCCGCGUGAGUGAAGAAGGCCUUCGGGUUGUAAAGCUCUUUCGCAAGGGAAGAAAACUUAUCCUCUAACAUAGGGUGAGGUUGACGGUACCUUGAUAAGAAGCACCGGCUAACUACGUGCCAGCAGCCGCCGUAA